CAAGACGUAGCUACAACAAAAGCAUUCAGCUUACACCUGAAAGAUAUCUGCUAUCCACCAGAUCGCCUUGA
Molecule: transfer RNA, 71 nt
Filed under: Phalacrocorax auritus (double-crested cormorant)
Lineage: Eukaryota; Metazoa; Chordata; Aves; Suliformes; Phalacrocoracidae
Description: tRNA-Val
Source: RNAcentral